RNAcentral lists this unclassified non-coding RNA (329 nucleotides) under soil metagenome. Its description in RNAcentral is "partial contains 5.8S ribosomal RNA, internal transcribed spacer 2, and large subunit ribosomal RNA". The stretch from base 1 to 120 matches the Rfam family "5.8S ribosomal RNA", at positions 35 to 154 of the family's 154-position model. The record is from RNAcentral.
GAUGAAGAACGCAGCGAAAUGCGAUAAGUAGUGUGAAUUGCAGAAUUCAGUGAAUCAUCGAAUCUUUGAACGCACAUUGUGCCCCUUGGUAUCCCGAGGGGCAUGCCUGUUCGAGCGUCAUUUCACCACUCAAGCCUGGCUUGGUGUUGGGCGACGUCCCCUUUGGGGACGCGCCUCGAAACGCUCGGCGGCGUGGCACCGGCUUUAAGCGUAGCAGAAUCUUUCGCUUUGGAAGUCGGGGCCCCGUCUGCCGGAAGACCUACUCGCAAGGUUGACCUCGGAUCAGGCAGGGAUACCCGCUGAACUUAAGCAUAUCAAUAAGCGGAGGA